GCCAUGAUAUGUUUUCGGAGAGAUGAGCACUCAAUGCUGAGAUAACCUCUAUCACCCUUGACUGAUGGAA
Molecule: small nucleolar RNA, 70 nt
Organism: Dromiciops gliroides (monito del monte)
Lineage: Eukaryota; Metazoa; Chordata; Mammalia; Microbiotheria; Microbiotheriidae
Product: small nucleolar RNA SNORD83
Exons: 1
Source: RefSeq, a predicted model, not a curated record